Molecule: long non-coding RNA, 2996 nt
Filed under: Homo sapiens (human)
Lineage: Eukaryota; Metazoa; Chordata; Mammalia; Primates; Hominidae
Description: HSALNT0088353
Source: RNAcentral
AUCUAGUGUACAACCUUUAUUACAUCUUAUGCUUGAAUAUCGCUGUUGUCUUUGAGUUGGUUUCAAAACCUCGGAUUUUUUUUUCCUUCAUUAGCUGCAUUAAAAAAAAGAAAUUUCCAGGUGAUUAUUAUUAUCUUCUGUAGAAACAGGAUCUCACUGCGCUGCCCAGGCUAGUCUGGAACUCUUGGCCUCAAGUGAUCCUCUGGCCUUGACCUGCUAAAGUGCUGGGAUUACAGGUGUGAGGCACCACGCCUGCCCCCCAAGGUGAUUUUAAGGAACAGACAAAUUUGUGAACCACUAUCCCUAAGUGCUUAGCACACCAUUCAUUUCACUCUUAAUUAUAUCCUUCAAUGGAACUAACUCCCUUAGUGGCAGGCGUAAUAUGCCUGUGAUUUCUGAGCUUAGAUGCUCUUUAAAAAUAGUUGUUUUUGGCCGGGUGUGGUGGCUCACGCCUGUAAUCCCAGCACUUUGGGAGGCCGAGAUGGGUGGAUCAUGAGGUCAGGAGUUCAAGACCAGCCUGACCAACAUGGUGAAACCCUGUCUCUACUAAAAAUGCAAAAAUUAGCCAGGCAUGGUGACGUGUGCCUGUAAUCCCAGCUACUCAGGAGGCUGAGGCAGGAGAAUCACUUGAAUCCAGGAGGUGGAGGUUGCAGUGAGCCGAAUUGCGCCAUUGCACUCCAGCCUGGGCAACAGAGAGAGACUCCGUCCCACCUCCCACCCCCGCCAACAAAAAAGUUUUUUCAUAUUCAUUGUGUUAGCCCAAAAUAUCUGAGACAGGUCUCAAUCAGUUUAGAAAGUGUAUUUUGCCAAAGUUAAGGAUGCACGUGUGACACUGCCUCAGGUGGUCCUGAAGACAUGUGCCCAAGGUGGUCAGGCUACAGCUUGUUUUUGUACAUUUUAGGAAGAAAUAAUACAUCAAUCAAUACAUGUAAGAUUUACACUGGUUCUAUCUGGAAAGCUGGAAAGCGGGAAAACUCAAAGUUGGGGGAGGGCUUCGAGGUCACAGGUAGAUUUCAACAUAUUCUGAUUAGCAAUUGGUUGAAAGAGUUAUUAUCAGUAGAAAGGAAUGUCUGGGUUAAGAUAAAAGUUGUGGAGACCAAAGGUUUAUUAGGCAGAUGAAGCCUCCAGGUAGCAGGCUUCCAAGAAAAGAGAUCCUAAAUGUUUCUUAUCAGACUUAAGGUCUGUGGUGAUGUUAAUACUGGAGGGGUAAAAUAAGGCAUGUCUGACUUCCUUUGCGGCCUAAAUCAGUCUUUCAGGUUAAAUUUUAAAGUGCCCUGGCCAAGGAGGAAGUCCAUUCAGGUGAGGGUGCAGGCGUGCUUCAAAUUUUAUUUUUAGUUUACAACUGUUAGCGAAAAGUACGUCCUCUCAAUUUCCGUUUUCCCCCUGUAUUUACUUAAGAACUAUUUUCCAGUUCCUUCUAUAUCUUGCUUUGCAUCUCCAGCAAAGAGAUACUAAAGUUUUCUCUUGGUCUUCUUUUCAGAGGUGCGGUUUGAUGAUUACGCACAAAGAGACAAAGAUAAUGAGUGGGGGUAGACCUGCUAGCUUAACUUUUUCUUUUAGAGAAGCACCUAAGGGGAUCUGUCACAUGGAUGAAUCUACCCUUCUUUGAAGGUCUGAUUUGAAAGCAGAUUGGACUACAUUCUGCACAAAGGCAUUUUAAACAUGCAGGUGUGAAUGCCCCAAAUAACAAUACUUUGAACUUUUACAGAACCUUUCAUCCAGUGAUACCAAAACAAUUCAGUUUAUUAAAGGCCUAGGAAGCUGGGGACAAAACAUCCAAUUGAUCUAUAUAUGGAAAUUUAUUGCAUUAACUUGGUUGGUGAUUCCUUUCAAGUCUCCCAACGCUGGGGCAUAUAAGCAGAGAAAACUGUACGGUUUCUGCAAGCUACCUCUCCAAAUUGUAAUAUUUUCCAUUUCCAACUCCUCAAGAAGAGCUAAUCCUCUUCUUUUCACAUUUAUGCUUAAUUAGAGAGUUACCAGUUCACAGACAGUUAUUUAUGUUCAGAACCUAAUAAAUUCUUGUUUCUGCCUUAAUUUGACCAAGGAUUGCCUUCUAUGUCAUGUUCUAAAGAAGCCCAUUGAACAAAUAAAUAAAAACAGACUUCACCUGUAGUGAGGGAGAACUAUUAUCUAAUCAAUUUUUCAUUUUAAAAAUUAAAUACUUCAAAAUUGGCUGGGUGUGAUGGCCCACACCUGUAAUCCCAGCACUUUGGGAGGCCAAGGCAGGAGAAUCACUUGAGCCCAGGAGUGCAAGACUAGCCUGGGCAACAUCGUGAGAUCCUGUCUCUAAAAAAAAAAAAAAAAAUUAAAAAUUAGCCAGGUAUGGUGGUGCAGUGCUAUGUGCCUGUAGUCCCAGGUAGACAGGAGGAUGAGGUGGGAGGAUUGCUUGAGCCCAGGAGGUCGAGGCUGCAGUGAGCUGUGAUUGUGCCACCGCAAUCUAGCCUGAGCAAAAAGUGAGACCCUGCAUCAAAAAAAAAAAAAAUUGUAAUUAAAUCUUAUUUUUAAUCUGAGAGCAUAGAUUUAAGUUGCCCUGAAUAUACACUCUCACUUAUCUAAUUGAUUUUUUUUUUUUCUUCGAGGCAGAGUCUUGCUCUGUCACCCAGGUUGGAGUACAGUGGCAUGAUCUCACCUCUGCCUCCCGGGUUCAAGCCAUUUUCGUGCCUCAGCUUCCCAAGUAGCUGGGAUUACAGGCAUGUGCCACCAUGCCUCCAUGCCUGGCUACUUUUUUUUUUUUUUUUCAGUAGAGACGGGGGUUUCACCAUGUUGCCCAGGCUGAUCUUGAACUCCUGGCCUCAAUCGAUCCGCCUGCCUCGGCCACCCAAAGUGCUGUGGGAUUACAGGUGUGAGCCACCGUGCCUGGCCAAUCGAAUUGAUUUUUAAAUGAACAAUCUUUUUUUUUUUUUUUUUGAGACAGUUUCACUUUUUGCCUAGGCUGAAGUGCAAUGGCGCGAUCUCAGCUCACCACAACCUCUGCCUCCCAGGUUCAAGCGAUUCUC